AGUGAACGCUGGCGGUAGGCCUAACACAUGCAAGUCGAACGGCAGCACAGUAAGAGCUUGCUCUUACGGGUGGCGAGUGGCGGACGGGUGAGGAAUACAUCGGAAUCUACUUUUUCGUGGGGGAUAACGUAGGGAAACUUACGCUAAUACCGCAUACGACCUACGGGUGAAAGCAGGGGAUCUUCGGACCUUGCGCGAUUGAAUGAGCCGAUGUCGGAUUAGCUAGUUGGCGGGGUAAAGGCCCACCAAGGCGACGAUCCGUAGCUGGUCUGAGAGGAUGAUCAGCCACACUGGAACUGAGACAGGGUCCAGACUCCUACGGGAGGCAGCAGUGGGGAAUAUUGGGCAAUGGGCGCAAGCCUGAUCCAGCCAUACCGCGUGGGUGAAGAAGGCCUUCGGGUUGUAAAGCCCUUUUGUUGGGAAAGAAAAGCAGCAGGUUAAUACCCCGCUGUUCUGACGGUACCCAAAGAAUAAGCGCCGGCUAACUUCGUGC
RNAcentral lists this ribosomal RNA (493 nucleotides) under uncultured bacterium. Its description in RNAcentral is "partial 16S ribosomal RNA". It matches the Rfam family "Bacterial small subunit ribosomal RNA", at positions 29 to 508 of the family's 1533-position model. The record is from RNAcentral.